UACGAAGGGGGCUAGCGUUGCUCGGAAUCACUGGGCGUAAAGGGUGCGUAGGCGGGUCUUUUAAGUCAGGGGUGAAAGCCCGGGGCUCAACCUCGGAACUGCCUUCGAUACUGGCUAUCUUGAGUACGGGAGAGGUGUGUGGAACUCCGAGUGUAGAGGUGAAAUUCGUAGAUAUUCGGAAGAACACCAGUGGCGAAGGCGACACACUGGCCCGUUACUGACGCUGAGGCACGAAGGCCAGGGGAGCGAAACGGG
RNAcentral lists this ribosomal RNA (255 nucleotides) under uncultured bacterium. RNAcentral describes it as "partial 16S ribosomal RNA". It matches the Rfam family "Bacterial small subunit ribosomal RNA", at positions 524 to 777 of the family's 1533-position model. The record is from RNAcentral.